ACUGCUCAGUAACACGUCGAUAAUCUGCCCUAUAGUCAGGGAUAACCUCGGAAAACUGAGGCUAAUACCUGAUAGGUGAUAUAUUCUGGAAUGAUUUAUCAUUCAAAUUCGAGCUAUAGGAUGAGUCGGCGGCGGAUUAGGCUGUUGGCGGGGUAAUGGCCCACCAAACCUUAGAUCCGUACGGGCCAUGAGAGUGGAAGCCCGGAGAGGGACACUGAGAUACUGGUCCCAGCCCUACGGGGUGCAGCAGGCGCGAAACCUUUACAAUGCACGCAAGUGUGAUAAGGGGACUCCAAGUGCUUAUGCUUAGCAUAGGCUUUUGCCAAGACUAAAUAUCUUGGCGAAUAAGUGGUGGGAAAGACUGGCGCCAGCCGCCGCGGUAACACCAGCGCCACAAGUGGCAACCGCGAUUAUUGGGCCUAAAGCGUCCGUAGCCGGUUUGGCAAAUCUUUUGUGAGAUCGUUAGGCUUAACUUAGCGAAUGGCAGAAGACACUACCAAACUCGGAACCGGGAGGGGUCUGAAGUAUUCCAAGGGGACCGGUAAAAUGGGAUAAUCCUUGGAGGACUACCGAUGGCGAAGGCAUCAGACCAGAACGGAUUCGACGGUGAGGGACGAAAGCCAGGGGAGCAAACCGGAUUAGAUACCCGAGUAGUCCUGGCCGUAAACGCUGUGAGUUAGGUGUUGCAUAAACUACGGGUUUGUGCAGUGUCGAAAAGAAGUUGUUAAACUCACCGCCUGGGAAGUACGGUCGCAAGACUGAAACUUUAAGGAAUUGGCGGGGGAGCAC
This 789-nucleotide ribosomal RNA is filed under the name uncultured archaeon. RNAcentral's name for it is "bacterial SSU rRNA". It matches the Rfam family "Archaeal small subunit ribosomal RNA", at positions 85 to 879 of the family's 1478-position model. The record is from RNAcentral.